CCACGUCACCAUCAACAGUACAUAAGAAUUUUAGUCCAACAGGAUCGUGACACCUCAUCAGUCAAUGCCACAUCAUCGGUCAAUGCCACGUCAUCAUCCGUCUAUGUGAACAGUGUCGUGAACAGUAACGUAUACAGUACCGUACACGUGAAUAGUACCGUACAUGUGAAUAGUGUCAUUUUUCCUUUUAUGCUCCUCCUAAGGUUUUCGACCGUCCUGAGUUCAAAAGUGAUGUCCGUUUUGCCGUCUGAUCUCUCC
Molecule: long non-coding RNA, 258 nt
Filed under: Citrus sinensis (sweet orange)
Lineage: Eukaryota; Viridiplantae; Streptophyta; Magnoliopsida; Sapindales; Rutaceae
Description: long non-coding RNA (CSIN_LNC002280)
Source: RNAcentral